This 73-nucleotide transfer RNA is filed under the name Dermacentor andersoni. RNAcentral describes it as "transfer RNA serine (anticodon UGA)". It matches the Rfam family "tRNA". Rfam says of the family: Transfer RNA (tRNA) molecules are approximately 80 nucleotides in length. The record is from RNAcentral. Lineage: Eukaryota; Metazoa; Arthropoda; Arachnida; Ixodida; Ixodidae.
GCCGCGAUAGCUCAAUUGGUAGAGCAUCGCACAUGAAAUGCGAAGGUUGUGGGUUCGGUUCCCACCUGCGGCA